UCUCCGUUGGUGAACCAGCGGAGGGAUCAUUACCGAGUUUACAACUCCCAAACCCUUAUGUGAACCGUACCUAUCGUUGCUUCGGCGGGAACGCCCCGGCGCCCUGCGCCCGGAUCCAGGCGCCCGCCGGAGACCCCAAACUCUUGAUUUUACAGCGUCUCUUCUGAGUGGAUUAUACAAAUGAAUCAAAACUUUCAACAACGGAUCUCUUGGUUCUG
This 218-nucleotide unclassified non-coding RNA is filed under the name root metagenome. RNAcentral describes it as "partial contains small subunit ribosomal RNA, internal transcribed spacer 1, and 5.8S ribosomal RNA". The record is from RNAcentral.